Molecule: ribosomal RNA, 253 nt
Filed under: uncultured bacterium
Lineage: Bacteria
Description: partial 16S ribosomal RNA
Rfam family: Bacterial small subunit ribosomal RNA
Source: RNAcentral
UACGUAGGGUGCGAGCGUUGUCCGGAAUUAUUGGGCGUAAAGGGCUCGUAGGCGGUUUGUCGCGUCGGGAGUGAAAACCCAGGGCUUAACCCUGGGCUGGCUUUCGAUACGGGCAGACUAGAGGUAUGCAGGGGAGAACGGAAUUCCUGGUGUAGCGGUGAAAUGCGCAGAUAUCAGGAGGAACACCUAUGGCGAAGGCAGCUUGCUGGGACGACACUGACGCUGAGACGCGAAAGCGUGGGGAGCAAACAGG